CAGCAGCCACGGUAAUACGAAGGGUGCAAGCGUUACUCGGAAUUACUGGGCGUAAAGCGUGUGUAGGUGGUUGUUUAAGUCUGUCGUGAAAGCCCUGGGCUCAACCUGGGAAUUGCGAUGGAUACUGGGCGACUAGAGUGCGGUAGAGGAUAGUGGAAUUUCCGGUGUAGCAGUGAAAUGCGUAGAGAUCGGAAGGAACAUCUGUGGCGAGGGCGACUAUCUGGGCCAACACUGACACUGAGGCACGAAAGCGUGGGGAGCAAACAGGAUUAGAUACCCCCGUAGUCCCUGUCUCUUAUAC
RNAcentral lists this ribosomal RNA (301 nucleotides) under uncultured bacterium. RNAcentral's name for it is "partial 16S ribosomal RNA". It matches the Rfam family "Bacterial small subunit ribosomal RNA", at positions 509 to 807 of the family's 1533-position model. The record is from RNAcentral.